GCCGUGGAAGCUUUAAGAAGCAUUGGCCUUGUAACCCGAAUAUGUGGAUAGCACCUCCACCCGCGGCU
Molecule: transfer RNA, 68 nt
Filed under: Lingula anatina
Lineage: Eukaryota; Metazoa; Brachiopoda; Lingulata; Lingulida; Lingulidae
Description: tRNA-Thr
Rfam family: tRNA
About the family: Transfer RNA (tRNA) molecules are approximately 80 nucleotides in length. Their secondary structure includes four short double-helical elements and three loops (D, anti-codon, and T loops).
Source: RNAcentral